GAGUACCACGGGACACGUGAAACCCUGUGGGAAGCAGGAGGGACCACCCUCCAAGGCUAAAUACUACCUAGUGACCGAUAGCGUAUAGUACCGUGAGGGAAAGGUGAAAAGAACCCCGGGAGGGGAGUGAAAUAGAACCUGAAACCCUGCACUUACAAGCUGUGGAAGCACAUUUCUUGUGUGACCGCGUACUUUUUGUAGAACGGGCCAACGAGUUACGUUAAGUAGCAAGGUUAAGCACUUAAGGUGUGGAGCCGUAGCGAAAGCGAGUUUUAACUGAGCGUUCAGUUACUUGACGUAGACCCGAAACCGGGCGACCUACCCAUGAGCAGGAUGAAGCGAAAGUAAAAUUUCGUGGAGGUCCGAACCCACGAGCGUUGAAAAGCUCGGGGAUGACUUGUGGGUAGCGGUGAAAUUCCAAUCGAGCCCGGAGAUAGCUGGUUCUCCCCGAAAUAGCUUUAGGGCUAGCCUCAAGGUGAGAGAUACGGAGGUAGAGCACUGAAUGUCCUAGGGGGUAUUGCACCUACCGAAGACUAUCAAACUCCGAAUGCCGUCAUCUUAUACUUGGGAGUCAGACUGUGGGUGAUAAGAUUCAUAGUCGAAAGGGCAACAGCCCAGAUCGUCAGCUAAGGUCCCUAAAUGUAAGUUAAGUGGUAAAGGAUGUGGGAUUGCACAGACAACCAGGAUGUUGGCUUAGAAGCAGCCACUCAUUCAAAGAGUGCGUAAUAGCUCACUGGUCGAGUGAUCCUGCGCCGAAGAUUUCCGGGGCUAAAACUUACUACCGAAGCUACGGCAUCAGUAAUGAUGGGUAGGGGAGCUUCCCAUACGGGUUGAAGCAUGACCGUAAGGACAUGUGGACAGUAUGGGAGUGAGAAUGUUGGCAUGAGUAGCGAGAUGUGGGUGAGAAUCCCACAGGCCGUAAACCCAAGGUUUCCAGGGGAAGGUUCGUCCGCCCUGGGUUAGUCGGGACCUAAGCUGAGGCCGAAAGGCGUAGGUGAUGGACAACAGGUUGAUAUUCCUGUACUACCGAUAACCGUUUGAGAGAAGGGAUGACACAGUAGGAUAAGCUAAGCACACUGUUGGUUAUGUGUGCCCAAGCAUUGAGGCAGUCAAAGUAGGCAAAUCCGCUUUGAUAAUGCUGGGAUGUGAUGGGGAGCGAAAUUUAGUAGCGAAGUAGCUGAUUUCACACUGUCAAGAAAAGUCUCUAUCGAGGUUAAAGGUACCCGUACCGCAAACCGACACAGGUGGGUGAGGAGAGUAUCCUAAGGCCAGCGAGAGAACUGUUGUUAAGGAACUCGGCAAAAUGACCCCGUAACUUAGGGAUAAGGGGUGCCACCAUCAGGUGGCCGCAGAGAAUAGGCCCAAGCGACUGUUUACCAAAAACAUAGGUUUCUGCUAAGUCGCAAGACGAUGUAUAGGAGCUGACGCCUGCCCGGUGCUGGAAGGUUAAGGGGAUCUGUUAGAGCAAUCGAAGCAGUGAACUUAAGCCCCAGUAAACGGCGGCCGUAACUAUAACGGUCCUAAGGUAGCGAAAUUCCUUGUCGGGUAAGUUCCGACCCGCACGAAAGGCGUAACGAUUUGGGCACUGUCUCAACAACAGACUCGGUGAAAUUGUAAUUCCGGUGAAGAUGCCGGAUACCUGCGACAGGACGGAAAGACCCCAUGGAGCUU
This 1671-nucleotide ribosomal RNA is filed under the name Clostridioides difficile. RNAcentral describes it as "partial 23S ribosomal RNA". It matches the Rfam family "Bacterial large subunit ribosomal RNA", at positions 410 to 2101 of the family's 2925-position model. The record is from RNAcentral. Lineage: Bacteria; Bacillati; Bacillota; Clostridia; Peptostreptococcales; Peptostreptococcaceae.